UUUAUGUUUUGCUCUUUUUAUUAUGAAUUUUUUAAAUCCGUUGUGAUGUCUUUUAAAUUAAACUAAAGUUUACUAAAAGCCAACAUAAAAAUUACGUUUUUGAACAACACCAAAAAGAACAGCUGCAUCCCUACAGCAACUGCUGUAGUAUCACGAUAGGUUACCAAAAGCAGUGAAACAAGUCGGCUUUUCAUUAAAGAUAUUGGUUUUAAAAUUGAAUAUCAUUGGCAAAAUGCUUACAAAAUUAGGCUAUGCUUGGCUCCUUGGUGCUGUAAAUGGUGGCUUCAACUUUGUUUUUUUUAAGAAAAAUGUGU
Molecule: long non-coding RNA, 314 nt
Organism: Hydra vulgaris (swiftwater hydra)
Lineage: Eukaryota; Metazoa; Cnidaria; Hydrozoa; Anthoathecata; Hydridae
Source: RefSeq, a predicted model, not a curated record